UCCUGGUCGGACAUCAGGAGGUUAGUGCAAUGGCAUAAGCUAGCUUGACUGCGAGCGUGACGGCGCGAGCAGGUGCGAAAGCAGGUCAUAGUGAUCCGGUGGUUCUGAAUGGAAGGGCCAUCGCUCAACGGAUAAAAGGUACUCCGGGGAUAACAGGCUGAUACCGCCCAAGAGUUCAUAUCGACGGCGGUGUUUGGCACCUCGAUGUCGGCUCAUCACAUCCUGGGGCUGAAGUAGGUCCCAAGGGUAUGGCUGUUCGCCAUUUAAAGUGGUACGCGAGCUGGGUUUAGAACGUCGUGAGACAGUUCGGUCCCUAUCUGCCGUGGGCGCUGGAGAAUUGAGGGGGGCUGCUCCUAGUACGAGAGGACCGGAGUGGACGCAUCACUGGUGUUCGGGUUGUCAUGCCAAUGGCACUGCCCGGUAGCUAAAUGCGGAAGAGAUAAGUGCUGAAAGCAUCUAAGCACGAAACUUGCCCCGAGAUGAGUUCUCCCUGAGACUU
RNAcentral lists this ribosomal RNA (499 nucleotides) under Klebsiella pneumoniae. Its description in RNAcentral is "partial 23S ribosomal RNA". It matches the Rfam family "Bacterial large subunit ribosomal RNA", at positions 2325 to 2823 of the family's 2925-position model. The record is from RNAcentral. Lineage: Bacteria; Pseudomonadati; Pseudomonadota; Gammaproteobacteria; Enterobacterales; Enterobacteriaceae.